Molecule: ribosomal RNA, 505 nt
Filed under: uncultured bacterium
Lineage: Bacteria
Description: bacterial SSU rRNA
Rfam family: Bacterial small subunit ribosomal RNA
Source: RNAcentral
UAAGGGAUAUUGCGCAAUGGGCGAAAGCCUGACGCAGCAACGCCGCGUGGAGGAUGACGGCCUUCGGGUUGUAAACUCCUUUGGACGCAGACGAGGAAGGACGGUAUGCGUCAAACAAGUCACGGCUAACUACGUGCCAGCAGCCGCGGUAAAACGUAGGUGGCAAGCGUUAUCCGGAUUUACUGGGCGUAAAGCGUGUGCAGACGGGUCGUCAAGUGGUGUAUGAAAUCGCUCGGCUCAACCGGGCGCGGGUAUGCCAGACUGGCGGUCUAGAGGGUGCGAGAGGGACGUGGAAUUCCGGGUGUAGUGGUGAAAUGCGUAGAGAUCCGGAGGAACCCCUGAGGCGAAGGCGGCGUCCUGGCGCACUUCUGACGUUCAGACACGACAGCAUGGGGAGCGAACGGGGAUUAGAAACCCCGGUAGUCCAUGCCGUAAACGAUGCCAACUAGGCGCUGAGGGACUCAACCCCCGCGGUGCCGUAGCUAACGCGCUAAGUUGGCCGCCU